This 390-nucleotide unclassified non-coding RNA is filed under the name soil metagenome. RNAcentral's name for it is "partial contains 5.8S ribosomal RNA, internal transcribed spacer 2, and large subunit ribosomal RNA". The stretch from base 1 to 122 matches the Rfam family "5.8S ribosomal RNA", at positions 35 to 154 of the family's 154-position model. The record is from RNAcentral.
GAUGAAGAACGCAGCGAAAUGCGAUACUUGGUGUGAAUUGCAGAAUCCCGUGAACCAUCGAGUCUUUGAACGCAAGUUGCGCCCGAAGCCAUUAGGCCGAGGGCACGCCUGCCUGGGCGUCACACGUCGUUGCCCCCCAUCUACUCCUUCGGGAUUGCGGGGGGCGGAUGAUGGCCUCCCGUGCGCCUCGUCGCGCGGUUGGCAUAAAUGCCAAGUCCUCGGCGACGCACGCCACGACAAUCGGUGGUUGCGAAACCUCGGUUGCCUGUCGUGUGCGGUCGUCGCGCAUCGAGGGCUCGAAAAAAUUGCCGGGCUUCGGCUCGACUUUCAACGCGACCCCAGGUCAGGCGGGGUUACCCGCUGAAUUUAAGCAUAUCAAUAAGCGGAGGA